This 545-nucleotide ribosomal RNA is filed under the name Pagurus minutus. RNAcentral describes it as "partial small subunit ribosomal RNA". It matches the Rfam family "Bacterial large subunit ribosomal RNA", at positions 1831 to 2625 of the family's 2925-position model. Lineage: Eukaryota; Metazoa; Arthropoda; Malacostraca; Decapoda; Paguridae. The record is from RNAcentral.
GUCUAUAUGAAGGUGUAUAUAGUUUGGCCUGCUCACUGAUUAUAUUAAAGAGCCGCAGUAUUUUGACUGUGCGAAGGUAGCAUAAUAAAUUGUCUUUUAAAUGGAGGCUUGAAUGAAAGGUUGGACAAAGUAUCAUCUGUUUCUUAAAUAUUUAUUGAAUUUGACUUUCAAGUGAAAAGGCUUGAAUAAAUUAAAAAGACGAUAAGACCCUAUAAAUCUUUACAAUAAACACAUUUUAUAUUUUUAUUUAUUAAGUGAAUGAGAUAUUAAAUUUGUAGUUGUUUCGCUGGGGCGGCGUAGAUAUAUAAAUGAACUGUCUAUAAUUUUAAAUACAAUAAUUAUUGAUUAAUGAAAUUGAUCCUUAAAUAGAUUAAAAGAUUAAGAUACUUUAGGGAUAACAGCGUUAUUUUUUCUGAGAGUUCUUAUCGAAGAAAAAGUUUGCGACCUCGAUGUUGAAUUAAAGUAUCUUUAUGGUGCAGUCGCUAUAAGAGAGAGUCUGUUCGACUUUUAAUACUUUACAUGAUUUGAGUUCAGACCGGCGUGAG